AAGCACCGCGUUAAUAGAUGUCUUGUAAUAUGUGAAAAGUUGCAAAAUGAAACCAUAGAUAGGAUGGUCAGACAGGCGAAGGCCAACACCUCCUCAGGAGAUUGCUUUGUGUCGAAACUGGAACACCAUAUAGGCCGAGUACAGCUUCCCACAAUGCAACUAGAUUAUUUAUUUUACCUGUACAUAAGUCGGCAAGGACAGACAGAACAGCCCGAGGACAGUAACAUCUGGCACGUCUGUUUUCUCUCUCACCUGUGUUUACGGGGAUCUUAAAUUUUACCCCUACAGCUCGCGCGAAAGGUCGAGUAGCAGGCGAGCAGCACUCCUAUGCAUUCAACAUCGAUUACACCAUCAAGGUCGUUUAUAAAC
RNAcentral lists this long non-coding RNA (369 nucleotides) under Androctonus crassicauda. The record is from RNAcentral. Lineage: Eukaryota; Metazoa; Arthropoda; Arachnida; Scorpiones; Buthidae.